RNAcentral lists this ribosomal RNA (216 nucleotides) under Glomeromycotina sp. Its description in RNAcentral is "partial small subunit ribosomal RNA". The stretch from base 44 to 216 matches the Rfam family "Eukaryotic small subunit ribosomal RNA", at positions 690 to 864 of the family's 1831-position model. The record is from RNAcentral. Lineage: Eukaryota; Fungi; Glomeromycota.
GGGUCAGUAGGUUGGUCGUGCCACCGGUACGUACUGGUCUCACUGAUUCCUCCUUCCUGAAGAACCGUAAUGCCAUUAAUCUGGUGUUGCGGGGAAACAGGACCGUUACUUUGAAAAAAUUAGAGUGUUUAAAGCAAGCUAACGCUUGAAUACAUUAGCAUGGAAUAAUGAAAUAGGACGAUCGAUCCUAUUUUGUUGGUUUCUAGGAUUGACGUA